RNAcentral lists this ribosomal RNA (253 nucleotides) under uncultured bacterium. Its description in RNAcentral is "partial 16S ribosomal RNA". It matches the Rfam family "Bacterial small subunit ribosomal RNA", at positions 524 to 776 of the family's 1533-position model. The record is from RNAcentral.
UACGGGGGGGGCAAGCGUUGUUCGGAAUUACUGGGCGUAAAGGGCGCGUAGGCGGUUUGCUAAGUUGGAUGUGAAAACUCUGGGCUUAACCCAGAGCCUGCAUCCAAAACUGGCAAACUUGAGUACUGGAGGGGAAAGCGGAAUUCCUGGUGUAGCGGUGAAAUGCGUAGAUAUCAGGAGGAACACCGGUGGCGAAGGCGGCUUUCUGGACAGUAACUGACGCUGAGGAGCGAAAGCGUGGGGAGCGAACAGG